Molecule: transfer RNA, 70 nt
Filed under: Camelus bactrianus (Bactrian camel)
Lineage: Eukaryota; Metazoa; Chordata; Mammalia; Artiodactyla; Camelidae
Also listed under: 2 other names
Rfam family: tRNA
About the family: Transfer RNA (tRNA) molecules are approximately 80 nucleotides in length. Their secondary structure includes four short double-helical elements and three loops (D, anti-codon, and T loops).
Source: Rfam by way of RNAcentral
GGGUACAGCUCAGUGGUAGAGCACAUGCUUAGCAUGCAUGAGGUCGUGGGUUCAAUCCCCAGUACCUCCA